AACUAUUUAGAUUAGCUUUUGGCUGUUUCUUGUUAAUUAUUUCUUAAUUCUUUAAUUAGAUUGGGACACAGUGUGGAGUAGUGAACAGAGUGAUGGGCUAGGGCUCAAGGAGACCGAGGUUCAAAUCCUUGUCUGGCCAUGGAAACUCAUGGGCGGGGAUGGAACUGGUAACAACCACUCUGCAAAUAUUCAGCAGCAAAAUUAGAGACAGAAGUGUGGGUGUGUGAGAAAUCAUGGGAUGUGGGUCCUUCUGUAACAGUAGCAAAACCAUGUGUGUCUGUGUACACAUGUGCACAUACAUAUGCACGGGAGCAUGAGUGGUGCAAACAAGGUGGACUUCCUGCACUACCUUCUGAGCAAAUAUUAUACAUACAACAGACAUACAGACAUUCAUGCUGCGCCAAUAAGUCCUGGCACCAGUUAGGAGUUGGGGGAACCUGGGUGUCCACACAUUAAAGCCACCACAGACAAUAAAGUCAGACUUUUUUGUCCUGCAGUGCCACCCAUUAUGAUAUUUGCCUCCUCAUCUGGAGACGCAGAGAAACCUAGCAAUUCCCUGAGAUAUAAGUCAAUGCCCUGAGACGUUGGCAACCCUGUCUUACAUAUGUCCCAUUCCUAGGAAUCUAAAAUUUGAAAAAGGAAGGAAGGAAGGAAGGAAAAGAAAAGAAAAGAAAAGAAAGAAAGAAAGAAAGAGAGAAAGAAAGAAAGAAAGAAAGAGAGAAAGAAAGAAAGAAAGAAAGAGAGAAAGAAAGAAAGAAAGAAAGAGAGAAAGAAAGAAAGAAAGAAAGAGAGAAAGAAAGAAAGAAAGAAAGAGAGAAAGAAAGAAAGAAAGAAAGAGAGAAAGAAAGAAAGAAAGAAAGAAAGGGCUCCCAUUCAUCCCCUGGAAUCAUGUCAUCCAAUCAACUAAAUUCAUAAACAAAACUGAACAGAAAGGAUACAGGAUCCAUCAAGUAAGCCUCUGGAACCUAACAAUGGUUUGUUUUUGACUCUGGAUUCUAAUUUGCUUCCCCAAAGACAGACUUUGACAUUCAUCCCAUCUUGUAUGUGAAAGACUUUCAAUCUUCCAAGUUAUUGAACUGAGAGAAAGUUAAGUGUAACCUUAAUAGUAAUGCUUAGCAUUGGUAUUUUGUGUCUUUUGAUUAUUGAAAGUAGGGAUGUGAACUCUUAUUUUUGUAGUCCAUGCAUGUGAGGAUGAGGAACCCUAAAAUUACUCCCUGUAAUUCAUAAGA
Molecule: long non-coding RNA, 1229 nt
Filed under: Pogona vitticeps (central bearded dragon)
Lineage: Eukaryota; Metazoa; Chordata; Lepidosauria; Squamata; Agamidae
Description: lncRNA (ENSPVIG00000021792.1)
Source: RNAcentral